Molecule: unclassified non-coding RNA, 337 nt
Filed under: soil metagenome
Description: partial contains 5.8S ribosomal RNA, internal transcribed spacer 2, and large subunit ribosomal RNA
Rfam family: 5.8S ribosomal RNA (bases 1-120)
Source: RNAcentral
GAUGAAGAACGUAGCGAAAUGCGAUAAGUAGUGUGAAUUGCAGAAUUCAGUGAAUCAUCGAAUCUUUGAACGCACAUUGCGCCCCUUGGUAUUCCAUGGGGCAUGCCUGUUCGAGCCUCAUUUGUACCUUCAAGCUCUGCUUGGUGUUGGGUGUUUGUCUCGCCUCUGCGUGUAGACUCGCCUCAAAACAAUUGGCAGCCGGCGUAUUGAUUUCGGAGCGCAGUACAUCUCGCGCUUUGCACUCAUAACGACGACGUCCAAAAGUACAUUUUUACACUCUUGACCUCGGAUCAGGUAGGGAUACCCGCUGAACUUAAGCAUAUCAAUAAGCGGAGGA